This 102-nucleotide small nucleolar RNA is filed under the name Nomascus leucogenys (northern white-cheeked gibbon). RNAcentral describes it as "Small nucleolar RNA U13". It matches the Rfam family "Small nucleolar RNA U13". The record is from Rfam by way of RNAcentral. Lineage: Eukaryota; Metazoa; Chordata; Mammalia; Primates; Hylobatidae.
AUCCUUUUGUAGUUCCUAAGUGUGAGAAUGGGUUUUCACACUCAUAUGUGAGAGAACCUCGUUCAAACCUUAUCACCACCUGGGCACAUUCCCCUUCUGAUG